RNAcentral lists this ribosomal RNA (585 nucleotides) under Tremella taiwanensis. RNAcentral describes it as "LSU rRNA". It matches the Rfam family "Eukaryotic large subunit ribosomal RNA", at positions 48 to 636 of the family's 3401-position model. Lineage: Eukaryota; Fungi; Basidiomycota; Tremellomycetes; Tremellales; Tremellaceae. The record is from RNAcentral.
AAGCGGAGGAAAAGAAACUAAGGAGGCUUCCCUUAGUAACGGCGAGCGAACCGGAAGAGCUCAAAUUUGAAAUCGGCGUCUCCGGCCUCCGAGUUGUAAUCUACAGAGGCGUCUUCAGCGCCGGUCCGCGUCCAAUUCCCUUGGAACAGGGUAUCAAAGAGGGUGAUAAUCCCCUGCUUGACGCGACCGCCGGCGCGCUGUGAUGCGUCCUCUAAGAGUCGAGUUGUUUGGGAAUGCAGCUCUAAACGGGUGGUAAAUUCCAUCUAAAGCUAAAUAUUGGGGAGAGACCGAUAGCGAACAAGUACCGUGAGGGAAAGAUGAAAAGCACUUUGGAAAGAGAGUUAAACAGCACGUGAAAUUGUUGAAAGGGAAACGAUUGAAGUCAGUCGUGUCCGAGGGGUUCAGCUUUGGCGUACUCCCCUCGGACGGGUCAACAUCGGUUCCGUCCGGCGGACAAGGGCGGGGGGAAAGUGGCACUUCGGUGUGUUAUAGCCCCUCGCUUCACGUCGGAAGGGACCGAGGAACGCAGCUCGCCCUCACGGGCCGGGGUUCGCCCACGUCCGAGCUUAGGAUGUUGACAUAAUG